GAACGACUGAGCCACAAACAAUUCUAUUCCGUCACUAACAAAGUGUCGGAUAGCCCAAGAAUCGGCGGCCGGGUCUCCAGAUGCACAUCCUUGGUAAGAAAUGUCAAAAAAAGGGAAAAGGCGUUUUCUCUUGAUGACCCGGGCGAUCU
Molecule: non-coding RNA, 149 nt
Organism: Caenorhabditis elegans
Lineage: Eukaryota; Metazoa; Nematoda; Chromadorea; Rhabditida; Rhabditidae
Source: Ensembl